This 465-nucleotide ribosomal RNA is filed under the name Vreelandella stevensii. RNAcentral describes it as "partial 16S ribosomal RNA". It matches the Rfam family "Bacterial small subunit ribosomal RNA", at positions 338 to 795 of the family's 1533-position model. The record is from RNAcentral. Lineage: Bacteria; Pseudomonadati; Pseudomonadota; Gammaproteobacteria; Oceanospirillales; Halomonadaceae.
CCUACGGGGGGCUGCAGUGGGGAAUAUUGGACAAUGGGCGAAAGCCUGAUCCAGCCAUGCCGCGUGUGUGAAGAAGGCCUUCGGGUUGUAAAGCACUUUCAGUGGGGAAGAAAGCCUUGGGGCUAAUACCCUCGAGGAAGGACAUCACCCACAGAAGAAGCACCGGCUAACUCCGUGCCAGCAGCCGCGGUAAUACGGAGGGUGCGAGCGUUAAUCGGAAUUACUGGGCGUAGAGCGCGCGUAGGCGGUCUGAUAAGCCGGUUGUGAAAGCCCCGAGCUCAACCUGGGAACGGCAUCCGGAACUGUCAGGCUAGAGUGCAGGAGAGGAAGGUAGAAUUCCCGGUGUAGCGGUGAAAUGCGUAGAGAUCGGGAGGAAUACCAGUGGCGAAGGCGGCCUUCUGGACUGACACUGACGCUGAGGUGCGAAAGCGUGGGUAGCAAACAGGAUUAGAUACCCUUGUAGUC